Molecule: long non-coding RNA, 1207 nt
Filed under: Equus caballus (horse)
Lineage: Eukaryota; Metazoa; Chordata; Mammalia; Perissodactyla; Equidae
Description: lncRNA (ENSECAG00000045924.1)
Source: RNAcentral
UUUCCUAUUAGACAUAAAAAACCCAAACUUGCAUAAUACACAGGUGUGAUAUCCUAAUUUAGAUUGCCCAGGUGGUAUGGAAAUCCUAAGCAGAUAAAUCAAUGUGUAAACUGGUCAUGGCAUAACAAGGCCCAGCACGGGGUUCUGGUUGAAGAAAAUGCAUAGUUCAUCUGGAAGAAGAUAUUUUCAACUCAGUGCAUAGGGGUCUUCUAAGGAAAAGAGGGGGAAAGCUGAUAAUAAGCUCAACAUAAAACUUAGAAAACACAUGAUGAAAAAAUCCUUCCUACCAUCAGGAAGAAUCAGUGACAAAACAAAGGGGAAUUGGUACUUCCCCCAAAAACUGAGGUAACAAGCUUCAAGAAAUUAUAAAAUCAACAUGUUCCUAAUGAUGACAACAAAGUAAAAGGCCAAAAACAUAAUGAAAGAGGAGGACACCAUAGAAAGAGAUAACAGAUUUGAAAAAGAACCAAGUAGAACUUGUGGAAAUAAUAAUAAAAACCCAGAAAUUAAAAACUAAAUGGACAAAUAGAAAACAAAGAGAAGAUGGUAAAUUGAAAUCAAAAUAUCUCAGUAAUUGCAUUAAAUGCAAAUGUACAAAAUAUUCCAAUUAAAAAAGACUAAGAUUAUCAGAUUUGAUUUUAAAAAUCUCAACCUAAUUAUCUGCUGCACAUUGAACAUAAGGACAGAGAAUUUGAAAGUAAAAGAAUAGAAAACAUGUACACACACACCAUUAAAAAGAAGUCAAACAUAGCAUUACUACUCUCAAAGUACACUCUAAAGCAAGAAAUAUUAUUAAGAGAAAGAUGGACAUUUUCUAAUUACAAAAGGUCAAUUAAUCCUUGAUAAAAAUUUAAAUGUUCAUGCACUUAUUAACAUAACUUCAAAAUAUUUAAAGCAAAAAAGUAACAAAAUUCACCUCACAUCCAUUAGGAUUUUGAUUACCAUCAAAAAAGAGAAAAUAAGAGUUGGCAAGGAUGCAGAGAAUUGGAAUCCUUGUGCACUGUUACUGGGAAUGCAAAAUAGGGUACCUACUACGGAAAACAGAAGGGUUGUUCCUCAAAAACUUAAACAUACAAUUCCUAUAUAAUUUAUCAAUUCCACUUCUCGACAUAUACCCAAAAGAGUUGAAAGCAGUGUCAGAAAUAUUUGUACAUCCAUGUUCAUUGCAGCAUUAUUCACAAUAGCCAAAAGCUGGUAGCAACUCAAG